Molecule: ribosomal RNA, 385 nt
Filed under: uncultured Katablepharidophyta
Lineage: Eukaryota; Cryptophyceae; Kathablepharidacea
Description: partial small subunit ribosomal RNA
Rfam family: Eukaryotic small subunit ribosomal RNA
Source: RNAcentral
GCUUGUCUCAAAGAUUAAGCCAUGCAUGUCUAAGUAUAAACUGCUUAUACUGUGAAACUGCGAAUGGCUCAUUAAAUCAGUUAUCGUUUAUUUGAUGAUCUCUUACUACUUGGAUAACCGUAGUAAUUCUAGAGCUAAUACAUGCACAAAAUCCCGACUUACGAAGGGAUGUAUUUAUUAGAUACAAACCAACAUCGUGGUGAUUCAUAAUAACUUUGCGAAUCGUAUGCCUCACGGCGACGAUGAAUCAUUCAAAUUUCUGCCCUAUCAACUUUCGACGGUAGGAUAGAGGCCUACUGUGGUGAUAACGGGUAACGAAGAAUAAGGGUUCGAUUUCGGAGAGGGAGCCUGAGAAACGGCUACCACAUCCAAGGAAGGCAGCAGG